Molecule: ribosomal RNA, 1000 nt
Filed under: Micrococcus sp. JSM 112015
Lineage: Bacteria; Bacillati; Actinomycetota; Actinomycetes; Micrococcales; Micrococcaceae
Description: bacterial SSU rRNA
Rfam family: Bacterial small subunit ribosomal RNA
Source: RNAcentral
CCAGCAGCCGCGGUAAUACGUAGGGUGCGAGCGUUAUCCGGAAUUAUUGGGCGUAAAGAGCUCGUAGGCGGUUUGUCGCGUCUGUCGUGAAAGUCCGGGGCUUAACCCCGGAUCUGCGGUGGGUACGGGCAGACUAGAGUGCAGUAGGGGAGACUGGAAUUCCUGGUGUAGCGGUGGAAUGCGCAGAUAUCAGGAGGAACACCGAUGGCGAAGGCAGGUCUCUGGGCUGUAACUGACGCUGAGGAGCGAAAGCAUGGGGAGCGAACAGGAUUAGAUACCCUGGUAGUCCAUGCCGUAAACGUUGGGCACUAGGUGUGGGGACCAUUCCACGGUUUCCGCGCCGCAGCUAACGCAUUAAGUGCCCCGCCUGGGGAGUACGGCCGCAAGGCUAAAACUCAAAGGAAUUGACGGGGGCCCGCACAAGCGGCGGAGCAUGCGGAUUAAUUCGAUGCAACGCGAAGAACCUUACCAAGGCUUGACAUGUUCUCGAUCGCCGUAGAGAUACGGUUUCCCCUUUGGGGCGGGUUCACAGGUGGUGCAUGGUUGUCGUCAGCUCGUGUCGUGAGAUGUUGGGUUAAGUCCCGCAACGAGCGCAACCCUCGUUCCAUGUUGCCAGCACGUAAUGGUGGGGACUCAUGGGAGACUGCCGGGGUCAACUCGGAGGAAGGUGAGGACGACGUCAAAUCAUCAUGCCCCUUAUGUCUUGGGCUUCACGCAUGCUACAAUGGCCGGUACAAUGGGUUGCGAUACUGUGAGGUGGAGCUAAUCCCAAAAAGCCGGUCUCAGUUCGGAUUGGGGUCUGCAACUCGACCCCAUGAAGUCGGAGUCGCUAGUAAUCGCAGAUCAGCAACGCUGCGGUGAAUACGUUCCCGGGCCUUGUACACACCGCCCGUCAAGUCACGAAAGUUGGUAACACCCGAAGCCGGUGGCCUAACCCUUGUGGGGGGAGCCGUCGAAGGUGGGACCAGCGAUUGGGACUAAGUCGAACAAAGUUGCCCCC